Haliotis rubra (blacklip abalone) is the source of this 4632-nucleotide RNA transcript. It is a transcript of the gene named scavenger receptor class F member 2-like, with no coding region annotated. The record is from RefSeq and is a predicted model, not a curated record. The transcript is spliced from 8 exons. NCBI's taxonomy places the organism in Eukaryota, Metazoa, Mollusca, Gastropoda, Lepetellida, Haliotidae.
AAGUGUACUAAAAGUCAUGUAUGAGCGGAGCUUAUCUGAUGUCAGCUAGUUUUAAACAACGACUGCAGAUAUAUGUCAAUAUUUUGCCCUCACUGCGCGUCGGGGCAGGUUGGGUAAUCUGGAGGUGUCACUACUGACUGACUACUGGCAUUAUCUAGUAGAAUAUUGAAGUGGGCGAUGGAAUAAUCCUGGUCUCUUAAGAGCCAGGUUUGAUUCCUACAUGGUCGCACUGUGUAAAGCUCAUUUCUGGGGUACCUCGCCGUGAUAUACCUAGAAUGUUGCUGAAUUUGGCGUGAAAGCAUACCCACGUUCUCUUAGUUGAGCUACUACUCUCAACCCCGGAAAUAUAGUCACCGGAGGAAGACUUCGCCAGCAGCUUGUGGCACGCUGGGUAUCUAGUACACUCUUCACUGUGUUGGUGAUUCAGCUCGUCUGCUGUGGAACCAGUGCGAAGGUCUGCAGUGAAUCAAGGUGUACUUUGUGUAAAAGUGGCACAUGCGAGGAGUGUUUGUAUGGGUACUGGGGGUACCAGUGUGAACACGCCUGUGUCAGCUGCUGGUUGGGGGGCUGCCAUAAACAGACAGGGCGGUGUCAUCAGUGUCUUCCUGGACGAUACACCGAGGGUUGUGACACACUCUGCCCCACUACCUGCCGUCUAAGCUACGACAACGUGAGGAACUGUCACCGGACCAGCGGCAAGUGUCUGGAAGGAUGUGCUGAAGGAUGGUGGGGGUCCACGUGUAACGAAACGUGCGGUCAAGGAUGUAAGAAGAAGGCUUGUUACCAGGAGGACGGUGUCUGCAUAUCUGAUUGUAUGGAAGGGUGGCAUGGACGUAAAUGUGAUAAACAUAACUGUCUGAAUAAACACAAGUCUGGCCGGUGCAUUGAUGGCUGCAAGGAUGGUUGGACAGGUGAAGGCCUGCAGUGAGAGGUGUGGCGCUGACUGCAUGAAAUGCCAUCAGUUCUCCUCAGCAUCGUGCCUCAUGUGCAAAGCAGGGCUUUACGGCCCCGACUGCCAGUCUGAGUGUUCGGCGAACUGCGUGAACACUACAUGUAACAUGGCAGGACAGUGUGAAAAUGGUUGUAUGACUGGAUUCCACGGCAAGAAAUGCGAGAUGGCGUGUCCGUACAGAUGUCUUGACUGUGACCAGACUUCGGGCACCUGCAGAAGGUGCGAGAUCGGAUGGACGGGCCCCCAGUGUCUCGAUCAGCCGGUCUCUUAUGCUACUUACCAGCCAGAUACACCAGAGUUAACGAAUGGCUGCAACCAAAUGGCAGAGGUUAAAUUAACAACAAUUGCGAUGGUGUUGUCAGCAGUUCAUCACAUGAGCAGCGUCCUUGAACGUUAAAAGUUGCCAGUGUAUUAGCAUACAUAAUGGGUUAUAUUUUUUAAAAAUAACAAUGCAAACUUAGGUAAUUUGCCAUCUCAGUGGCACAAAACUAUAUCCAUUUUUGAGAUAUCCGUGAGAUAGCGAUCUUGGGUUUGGAUACAUUUACCAUCCAUUUGCACAAAGUGAUAAUAUGUCGAGAUUAUCUUGACAAUCAAAUAAUAAUGACGUUUAAGAGUGGGUCUGUUUCAAAGGAAUAAUGUGUACCACAUUGAAGGAUUGCGUUCAUUUUCUGUGUGAUUCAAACGACCCAGUGGCAACUCAGAGAAGGACUUAUCACGUGAAGGAACAACAAAACGAUAACUUACAAUGUAAUUUCCGCCCGACCCCAUAAUUAGAGAACUGUAGUAUGGCCUACAUUUUAAUGGGUUAUUCUAAAGACAUAACACAUUGUUAGAUGUUAGCUAUGUAUAUAGCCGUUAUACACCAUAUACCACCAAGUUAUCUCCGAUUGUUCUAUAUUGUGCUCUUAUUUUAUUUUUCUUCCUGAUUACAAGUCUUGAAUAUUAAUAAAGUUAAGCUGAGUUAUUGUUUCAAACUUGUGUUUUUUCUGCUUUAUUCCUCGUUGUAGUUGGAUCUGUCACAUCUUGCCUUGUUUGUUGACACCUUGAACAUGGCUGGAUGCUACUGUGAGUUGGACAGCGUCUGCUGUCACCUGAUUCAUGUCACGUCACAAUUGGAUUUCUUUCGCUAAGAAUCUUUUCAGUAUCACAUUACAUGUAUCCAUUUUUACUUUUUGUAAAAAUGUUGUGUUUUUGAAUUUGGAGUUAGUAACAACAUUGUUUGGGUUAAUUAAGGUAUGAUGCGAAAAAAUCCAAAUACAAUUUAGGUUAUGCGUAAAUUUAUCUACUUAAACUAUGUUGUUCUGACUGUUAGAUGAUUGGAAGAUGGACGAUUAAAAUCGACAGCAGCCAGGUAACUAAACGAACAAACGCCAGUCUAACUGUGAUGAAAUGUUACAGCCGAACGUUGUCAUUUAUAUAAGAUAUACGCAUGUUGAAAGAUGGCGUUAGAGUUCUAUUUUACAUUAACUGCGUAGAAAAAUAGUAUAACUUCGACAACACUAUAAAGGUGACCUGUUGCAUGCCUAUAAACACGAUUACGGUGCAUGGAGUCACCGAUACUGUGAUGAAUACAAUGCGUAACUCACAAAGACCCCUUUGACAGAUUGUAAUCAAAACCCGCUUAAACUCACGCCUCAACUCUGGAAAUACCCAUUCCCUGGCGUAAUGAUCUAUAUAUAGAUACAGUGUAUGUACAGGUCUUUCUUUGCUUCUCACGUCAUCAGGGUGACAAAAGGUUUCUGUCUAGUACAGACAAUAAAACUACUAGACUCCCCCCCUCUCCCCUCCAACCCUAAGCUAUGAACUGAUCCUAAGUGCUAGAUGUCUUUUACCAAAGUAUACUGUAUAAUUUUAUACACUACCUUCAUGAAUAAAACUGGGGUCUGUCGUUUGUUGCUAGGGUCUUUUGGUUCUCUUAAUGGGAAAUGGAAUUUAAGGUGACUUCAGUCAAGAUAUCAUGUCGUCCAUUCUGGAAUCUGAUGUCGGCACCUUUCUGUUUUGGUCUUGUGGACUGUGGUAGGGAGCACUGUCCAGUCCUUACUCAGAGGUAAACGGGAAGUAGCUGUGUCUCCACCCAUUCCAGAAAGACAUGAGUAGUAUAGCAUAGGUCACAAGACGGUACUUUUUUGUUGAGGGGAGGUUAAGGGAAAUUCAUUGGCUGAUCCAAGUCACGUGGUCAUAGCUGAUGCAUAGGUAAAUGUAGGCUGUAAGGCACAGGUCGGGAAAGGUCGAUGAAAGGUGGUUGUUUUAAUGCAGUCAUGCAAUCUUGUAGAAAACCCUUUAUAAGACGUGAAAAAAAGCAAAGUGUAAUGAAUAGAGCUAUGUAUAAUGUGCUGACCUGAAUAGACAGACAGUAUUUGUCAGCCUGGUUUGAAUUCAGCGCGUUUCUCUGCAGUUUCAUCUUGUCCUGCUACACCUACACCCAUCUACACCUGCUUCCAGAUGCGUUGUGAGCCUACAUUUUGCCACUCCUCGGCUUCCAUAUCAGAGAAUGUUGGCUUCCCACAAGGAGGUUUGACGGCAGGAUCACUGCCUUUCUGGGAAGAGGCUAGGUCGUCAUAGUCACUGUCAUUGUCAUCACUCUCAAGUCUGGCGCGCUUUCUCUUAGGUUGAAGGCUAUUGGCUCGACAGCAAUGUUUGAUAUGUCACUGUAGAUCGUGCAUGUUAUAUAUCAGCACCCGCAAUCUGCACAAGCCGUGGCCAUAGUCAAUGAUGUCUCACUACUCGUGUCUGAAUCAGUUUCAAUUUGAGUCAGCUGAUGUUGGGGCAGUCUCUCUUCUUGAGUCAGAGGACUAUCCAGAGAUUCUGUUGUAGUCAACUUGUCCCUAGGCAGAUCAGGUUCAGACUGAGCUUUGACUUGCCCAUUUUCCUCGUUUAUGAGAUUGACCUGCAGUCGAUCCUUAUCUUUGGUGGUAGGUUUAAGAUCAAUGAUGAAUUGUCCAUAGGGUGUUUCAGCAGCCUCUUCAUACAUUGCCAUAAAGUGAUCCAUAUGUUCGGGGAAUUAAUGUAUCGCCACCUGUCAAUCAAACAAAUGACAUGACCAACGAGAAACGUCAAAUUAUUCAAUCCGCAUCGCGUUGCCGUCAGCUGACAGCUGACCACCAUUUUGUCCGACAUCAGCGGUCUGGCGGACUUUUCAAAAAUAAAUCGACGUUCACAGUCAACUUUUUGAUCAUGGUGAAAAGGUGUAGCUGGGGUACCUGCAACUCGGACACGCGGUACCCGGAACGUCUUGCUGGUGGUAUCACGUUUAUUCCAUUUCCCAAGCCUGCCAGAAAUUUUGACAAAUGUCAACGAUGGAUACGUUUGUGUGGUCGCCCCAAGUAUCAACUGAAACAUGGACAUACUUCGUGACCACAGCCGAGGAAAACAUUUCUUCGUAUGUACAAAGCACUUUGUUGAUGGAAAACCCUCCAAGACAUUUCCGGACCCUGCGUCUGCACUACCUCAUGAACAAAAUGAAAAUCCAAAGACAGUAAGACCACGACCCAAACCACGCUUGCCAUUUAUGGGGGACGGGAAAAGGAAAGUUCUUCUUGAAACACACAGAUGUAAUCAUGAUACAGAUAUUUCUGAUUCACCAAAUCAGACGGAUAUGGAACAUCCAGAGCCUACAACCAUGCAGCAGGAAUCUGAUAUUCUUGUCCAACAAAGUGGCACCAUGGGUCCUCUGCCACUGG